AGAGUAGGUCAAAUGAUCGCUGCUCCGUGCUUGACGUUUGUCGCGGCCGGGGGAGAGGAAAGUCCGAGCUCCGUAGGGCAAGGUGCUGGGUAACGCCCAGUCCCGGUGAUGGGAAGGAAAGUGCCACAGAAAGCAAACCGCCUCGGGGAACGUUUGUUUCCCGAGGUAAGGGUGAAACGGUGAGGUAAGAGCUCACCAGCUCCGAUGGUGACAUCGGAGGCUCGGCAAACCCCACCUGGAGCAAGACCAAAUAGGAGAGCAUUGAGGGUGGCCCGCCCAAGCUCUCGGGUAGGUCGCUUGAGGCUGCGAGUAAUCGUGGUCCUAGAUGAAUGUUCAUUGUCCUUGGGGAGUGAUCCCCGAAGGAAACAGAACUCGGCUUAUGCCCUGCUCUAUUC
Molecule: RNase P RNA, 395 nt
Filed under: Deltaproteobacteria bacterium
Lineage: Bacteria; Pseudomonadati; Myxococcota; Myxococcia
Description: RNase P RNA component class A
Rfam family: Bacterial RNase P class A
About the family: Ribonuclease P (RNase P) is a ubiquitous endoribonuclease, found in archaea, bacteria and eukarya as well as chloroplasts and mitochondria. Its best characterised activity is the generation of mature 5'-ends of tRNAs by cleaving the 5'-leader elements of precursor-tRNAs. Cellular RNase Ps are ribonucleoproteins.
Source: RNAcentral